Molecule: ribosomal RNA, 340 nt
Filed under: uncultured bacterium
Lineage: Bacteria
Description: bacterial SSU rRNA
Rfam family: Bacterial small subunit ribosomal RNA
Source: RNAcentral
GGGCGCAKKYCUGAACCAGCCANGUAGCGUGAAGGAUGACUGCCCUAUGGGUUGUAAACUUCUUUUAUAUGGGAAUAAAGUUUUCCACGUGUGGAAUUUUGUAUGUACCAUAUGAAUAAGGAUCGGCUAACUCCGUGCCAGCAGCCGCGGUAAUACGGAGGAUCCGAGCGUUAUCCGGAUUUAUUGGGUUUAAAGGGAGCGUAGGUGGACAGUUAAKUCAGUUGUGAAAGUUUGCGGCUCAACCGUAAAAUUGCAGUUGAUACUGGCUGUCUUGAGUACAGUAGAGGUGGGCGGAAUUCGUGGUGUAGCGGUGAAAUGCUUAGAUAUCACGAAGAACUCC